GUCCACACGGUAACGAUGAAUACUCGCUGUUUGCGAUAUACUGCAAGCGGCCAAGCGAAGCGUUAAGUAUUCCACCUGGGGAGUACGCCGGCAACGGUGAACUCAAGGAAUUGACGGGGCCCGCACAAGCGGAGGAACAUGUGGUUUAAUUCGAUGAUACGCGAGGAACCUUACCCGGGCUUAAAUUGCAGAUGAAUUACGGUGAAAGCCGUAAGCCGCAAGGCAUCUGUGAAGGUGCUGCAUGGUUGUCGU
RNAcentral lists this ribosomal RNA (252 nucleotides) under uncultured bacterium. RNAcentral's name for it is "partial 16S ribosomal RNA". It matches the Rfam family "Bacterial small subunit ribosomal RNA", at positions 793 to 1055 of the family's 1533-position model. The record is from RNAcentral.